UACAGAGGGUGCAAGCGUUAAUCGGAAUUACUGGGCGUAAAGCGUGCGUAGGCGGAUACUUAAGUCGAAUGUGAAAUCCCCGGGCUUAACCUGGGAACUGCAUCCGAUACUGGGUAUCUGGAGUAUGGUAGAGGAAAGUGGAAUUCCCGGUGUAGCGGUGAAAUGCGUAGAUAUCGGGAGGAACAUCAGUGGCGAAGGCGACUUUCUGGACCAAUACUGACGCUGAGGCACGAAAGCGUGGGGAGCAAACAGG
Molecule: ribosomal RNA, 253 nt
Filed under: uncultured bacterium
Lineage: Bacteria
Description: partial 16S ribosomal RNA
Rfam family: Bacterial small subunit ribosomal RNA
Source: RNAcentral